RNAcentral lists this long non-coding RNA (11364 nucleotides) under Homo sapiens (human). Its description in RNAcentral is "non-protein coding lnc-STK3-2:7". Lineage: Eukaryota; Metazoa; Chordata; Mammalia; Primates; Hominidae. The record is from RNAcentral.
AAGUGGCGCUCCGGGGAGAAGGUGGCUGCGGCUGCUGGGGCCGCUGCGCCGGCGGCGGUUCCCGAUGUGGAGGUCCGUCUUGGGUGGGGAGGCACCCAGGUCGCUGGUUCGAUGCAGAGGAAGAAACCACACCUAGCACGUAAAGCCCUGAAAAAAUAGAGGUGGUUGUUUUUCUUGAGAAAUGGGAGGACUGGGAAGAGGAACUUGGUUGGGUUCACUGGGGAGGGCAGAAGCAAUAGGCCGCUGGUAGGAGGAGCGAAAUAAGUGACAGAUUUCAACUUAGUUCCAAGGUUUAUUUGCUGGAAGGAGGGUGGAUGUGGGAAGAAAAUUGAAGGGAUUAGGACAUACACCGUUGGAGGAUGCGUUUUGGCCAAACGUGUAGACAAGUUCUCGCAUUCUGGUACUUUCACAAAGCAAUGGUAAAGUACUCCCUAGUUUGCUGAUGAGGGGCGGGGGAAGGGAUGGUCAAAGAGAAUAUUGCGGGGAACCAUAGGAUUGCAGUCUGACGUGGGAUUUAGGGAAGCUGCGGGAAUAACCAAAAUGAAGACAGAAUUGAGAGUUCUAGAGACAAAGUGAAAAUAACUGAUAAGUAAUGAAUUCAGAGUUGUAAGGGUCGGUGUUGGUUUUAUUAGGCUGUAAUGAGUAUAAAAUAUUACCUUUCCGUAUAAUAGCUUACAAGCUAACAAAGUCAAGAAACUCAAACAUUAACUCGGAAAAUAUACACUGGGCUUCAAGGAAUCGCAUAGGACAUGCUCCCCAAGUUUUGCCCAGAUUGUCUUAUUUUUGGUUAUCGCUGAAGAAAACACCUACAACUGCAUUUUGAAACUAGACUCCUGGCCAGGCGCGGUGAUGCAUGCCUGUAAUCCCAGCACUUUGGUAGGCCAAGGCCUCCAAAUUGCUUGAGCGCAGAAGUUUGAGACCAGUCUGGCCAACAUGGAAAAAACCCGUCUCUACAAAGAUAAUAGUAAUACAAAAAUAAGCUGGGCAUGGUGCCAGUAGUCCCUGCUACUCAGGAGGCUGAGGUGGGAGGAUCACUUGAGCCCCAGAGGUGGAAGCUGCAGUGAGCCGUGAUCACACCACUGCACUCCAGCCUGGGCGACAGAAUGAGACUCUGUCGAAAAACAAAACAAAAAAUCAGAAACUAGAUUUCUUAAAAGGUUAUUAAAUACCCACCCAUGCCUAAAGCUCUUUCCUGGAAUUCAAAAUUACCAUUUCUUGAAAGAGCUUCAGUAACUGCAACAGAAAAGAGGCCUGAGGAUGCCAAGGUGUUUAGGUUUAUUUUGUGAUUGAAAAUAAGGAAAUAAGUUUCACCAAAAGAAGCAGCAGCUAAUUGCCAAUUCAGAGCAGCUGUUCCUUCACAAAAAUGCCAUAAUAACUCAAAUAUUUGAGUAUUAUCAAAACUUGCCAAAUUAUACAAAUGAAUUAAUUUGUUUUUCUGUUAUCUGCUUCAUCUGAAACACAGGUCAAAGCCAUGACUUAGAGGUUUUAACGUAAAGAAAAUGGUUCCGCUAAUUGUAUAGAACCUCUCAGCAGUCUACAACAGUAGCUCCAGGUCUUGUCGUUUUUCUAGAGAAAAAGGGCCUAGUUUUCUUCUGUGGUGAUCUAUUAAAUAAAAACACUAUAUUAAGAUAAAUUGGCCAAAUAUAGGAGUAGAAAUGUGACUAAGAUGUUUGAACAAAUAACAUAUGGAAUGCUAAACAUAUGGAAUGCUAAACGUAUGCCAUUUUUCUCCUGGAACCAACAAAAAAUAGACAAAUUCCUGGCUUGGGAAAAUUAUCUGGGCACUGUGUUUUGGUUUAAGUAUCAAAAAAUUUGUAGUUUUCAAUCUGUGUUCCACUGUGCCCUUUACCAUAAGCAGUGAAGAUAAAUUUAAUUCCUUUUCACUAAUAGUUUCAUUGCUCAUUUUUUAAAUUGUCAAAUGUUAAGCCUUUUCCAAAUCUAUUAUGUCUUUGUAUUGUAAGAUUUUUCUUCCCCCCACAAAUAUUGUUUAAGUGUUCUCAAGACUUUGAGGCAGGUUGGUUCUGUAGAGGCAGGCCUGGUUCUUGGUCUUAACAGAAAACCUUCAAGUUCCUCACCAUUAAGUAUGUUGUUAGCUGUAGGGUUUUUGUAGAUGUUCUUUAGCAAGCUAAAGCUCGCUGAGAGUUAUCGUAACAUAAGUGUUAGAUUUUGUCAAAUGCUUUUUCUGCAUCUAUUGAUAUGAACAUGUGAUUUUUCUUCUUUAGCCUGUUAAUGUGAUUGAUUACAAUAAUUGAUUGUUGAAUAUUUAACCAGCCUUGCAUACUUGGGAUAAGUCCCACUUGGUCAUGGCUUAUACUUCCUCUUAUACAUUGUUGGAUUUAAUCUGCUAGUAUUUUGUUGAAGAUUUUUGCAUCUAUGUUCAUGAGAAAUAUUGGUUUGGUUUUCUUAUAAUGUCUUUAUCUGAUUUUGGUAUUAUAGUAAGGCUGGGCUCAUGAAUAAGUUAGGAAGUAUUCCUUUGCUUCUAUCUUCUGGAAUAGAUUAUACAGAAUUGGUAUAAUUUCUUCCUUAAAUGUUUGAUAUUACUCACCAAUGAACCCACCUAAGCACAGUGUUUUCCACUUUAGAAGGUUAUUAACCAUUCUGUUUCUUCAUUUCUGUUUUUUAUUUUCUUAUUUAUUUCCAUCUCCCUGCCUAGAUUUUCUAGCUGCAAGAUUAAAAGAUUGAAAAAGGUAGAGAAAGGCUUCUUUUUUUGUUUAGUUUUCUAUUAUGUGUGAUAUAUAUAUGGGAUCUUCAACUACAGGGACCUGUAUCCCUAAUGCCUUGCAUAUUAUGUGGUACCUAAUAGGUUAUGACAGUGAUUUACUUUAACAAUUAUUCAGGAAAUCUGCUUACCUUUUCCUUGUGUACACAGGGCUAGAUUAUUAUUCAGGCUGUCUAACAGCCAGGUGUUGUCAAGUAACUGAGUUCUGACCACCUGAAUGUGGAUAGAAGUGAUGUAGGCACAGGCCUGGCUCAUAAAAGCCUCCCACAUGACAGCCUUAGUCUUUCUCCGUCACCAAGCAGGAUAAAAGUGUGCAGAGGACUCCAAGGUCCAAGGAGAUGUUAAGGACAAAAACUAGGAGAUUGAGUUUAUGAGUCAUUGCCUAGAGAAACAACUGCUGAUAAGUAACAUCCAUUAGGAUUUUCCAUGAUUUAGAAAUAAACUACUGUUAAACUUACUGAGAUUUGGAGGGUUAUCUGUCACAGCAGGAAGUAUUAUUUUAACCAAUUCAUAUAAUAGACAUAAGCUGAUCUUAAUUCAACUUUGUUUCAGAAAUGUUAAAAUUGUAAUCAACCAAAGUCUUCUGACUUUAUUUCUCCCUUUUGAGAAGGAAAAAAGAAAAACCAUUAAUUACUACAAUCAAUAGAACAACAGUUUUCUGGAUUUAAAGUCAUACACAUUAAGCAGCUGUACAGUGCGCUUCUGACUGGCUUCCUAAAGAGUUACAGCAUGUAAAGAUUCUUAAUAUACCCUCAGAGUUAAGUGUAAACAAAUAUCCAAGUCACGUAGAUAUUAUCUCACUAUGAAAAUUGGGCACAGUAUAGAUCAUAAGUCCAGUUGGCAAGAAACUAAUCAUCAUUGGCUCAAGUUAUUUAUGUAUGUUAGUUUAAUAUUCUGAAUUUACUCAUUAGCUGAGACAUUCUUUGAAUGCCCACUAUGUGUUUUACAGCAUACCAGUCACUUAGGCAUGCCCACAUUGAAGGAGCUCAGUUUCAUUGGAAUCACAGAUAUAAAUGACCUAUUAAAAUAUUAUAUGAUUAAGUAGAUUAUGUAAAAAGUGCUGUGGGACACUGUAAAAAAUCAUUUAGAACUAUGUGAGAAAAUCAGUCAAGGUUUAAGAGAGGAGUUACCAGUUACAGAUAACAAUGUAUUUUUUUCCACUGACCUAAGCCUUUCAAGCAAAAUCAGAAAACUGUAAUUUUCACUAAAAUAAAUCAUCAAUGGAAUGACCUAGUUUAAGACCCUUUUGGAAGACAGAUAGAGUCCUAGAAAUCUCUACUACAUCAAAACAAAUCAGAGGGAUAGGCAAACAUGCCAAUAUAACUGAAUAAAGAGCCCAGAAAGAAACCCCUUCAAACAUGGCAUCUUUAUAUAUGACAAUCAAUGGCAAAGAGUGCAUAUUUCAGUAAUUGAUACUAGAACAAUUACUACCUAUAUGGAGAAAAAUUAGAUUCCUACCUCAGAUGUAGGAAAGAAGUCCAAGUUUUAUGAAGCCAAAAACUUAUAAUUUGGGGAUUCCUAAGGAAAUUCCAAAAUAAAUUAACUUUUGAAAAUUUUGUAAAAACACAACCCAUGUGAACAUUACUUGGGCUUCUCCCAGAGCCUUGAAAAGAGCUUAUACAAGUGAUGGUAGAGUAAAUCUACCUCUGUUCACAACGAACACAAAAAUAAACUCAAAAUGGAUUAAAAAUUCAAUAUUUUUUUUAAUUUUUAGAGAAAUUAUAGGACAAAAAUUGUUAUGCCUCAGAGAGGAAGGAAUUCUUAAAUAAGGUAAGGCACAAAGACAUAAAAAGGACAAACUUUCAAUGAAAAGCUUAGUAAGUUUAUACAUUAAAAUUAAAAAAGCUUGUUCAUCAAAGAACAUGUCAAAAUACAAGCACAUGUCAAAAUACAAGCCACAAGCUGGGUGACGAUGAUGAAAAAUGUUCAUUACUCAACAAAGAAAAAGAACUCAUUUUAUAAUACACUACAAAUUAAUGAACAAAUGCAAUAGAAAACCAACCAAUUCAUAGAAGAGGAAACCCAAAUGUGUAAUAAUCACAAAAAACAUGUUCAGCUCCACUAAUCAGGGGAAUUCAAUUUAAAACAAUAAUGACCUAUUCCAUACCUAUCAGACUGACAAUAUUUUUAAUGUAUAAUGUUAAUGAGUGGCAUGAUAGGAACCUAGUGCACUGUUGCUGAGAACAACACAGUGGAGAGGAAUUAAGCAAUAUCUAGCAGAGUUGAAGACGCAUAUACCCUAUGACCCAACAAAUCUACUUGUAAGUAUUAUAGAAACUUGCAGGCCAGGCGCAGUGGCUCACACCUGUAAUCCCAGCACUUUGGGAGGCCGAGGCAAGCGGAUCACCUGAGGUCAGAAGUUCGAGACCAGCCUGGCCAACAUGUAGUAAAACCCCAUGUCUACUAAAAAAAAAAAAUACAAAAAUUAGCCAGGUGUGGUGGUGCACGCCUGCAGUCCAGCUACUUGGGAAGCUGAGGCAGGAGAAUUGCUUGAACCCAGGAGGCAGACGUUGCAGUGAGCCGAGAUCGCACCAGUACACUCCAGCCUGGGUGACAGAGCAAGACUCUGUCUCUCAAAAAAAAAAAAAAAAAGAAAGAAACUUGUGUGUAUGCACAAGGAGAUAUGUUUAACACUAUUUUGCAGCAUUGUUUGUACCAGUUGAGUAUCCUUUAUCCAAAAUGCUUGGGACCAGAACUGUUUCAGAUUUCAAUUAUUUUCAGAUUUUGGAAUAUUUGCAUUAUACUUACCACUUUAACAUCCCUAAUCCAAAAAUCUAAAAUCCUCCAAAGAACAUUUCCUUGAGGGUCAUGCAUAUUAUACACUCAAAAACGUUCAGAUUUUGAAGCAUUUUUGGUUUGGGGAUUAGGAUGUUCAACCUGUAUUAGUAAAACAGUGGAAACAAUUGAAAUGUCAGUAGGACAGUAGUUAACUAUCAUAUUCAUACAAUAGAAUAUUACAUAGUAGUGAAAAUGAAUGUUAUGACUUUCAAAUAUUUUACCUACAGUGAGAAAUAUAUUUCAUACCAUGACUCAAUAUAUAUAUGCUUAUAUAUAAUCACAUACAUAUAUGUAUAUAGGCAUUAAAUUGAGUACUUAUGAUACAUUUUAUUUACUGUUCUGUUUUUUCUAAAGCAGUUCAUGACCUGCUAUAUUGAUUUUCUGUGCUACUAAUGAUUUGAAACCUACAGUUUGAAAAAAAAAAAAAACUAAACAAAGUUAUAUAUUUAUCAACAUGAAUAAAUCUGAAUAACAAGUAUAGCAUAUUAUAUAGUGUGUGUAUAUAUAUGUAUAUAUACACAUACAUACAUAUACAUGUAUAUGGUAUUCAAGAAAUGCUAUAUAUUGUGAUACCUAUAUUUAUAUAAAGGAAUAAUUUUUAAAACUUAUGAGAAAGGUAAAUACCAAAUUCAGGAUAGUAUUAUUACCUCUGAAGAAGAAGACAUGGAAAAUAAAACGGGAAGGGAAUACUGGGUAUUUCAACUGUAUCUGUAAUGUUUUCCUUAUUUUACAAAAGGAAAAAUGUUAAUAUUUGAUAGGUGUUGAGUACAUGGGUGUUAUUCAUAUUUUUUUCAAAAUACUUGAUUAUUAAAAUUAACUAGAAUAAUAUUUCUUAAUUUUAUAUCACACUUUGAAAAAAAAUCAUCUCACUUUUUCCAAACAGGAAUUUACAGGUAUUUUAUUAUCUUAAUUAUCUGUAGCAAAUUUUAAAGGAACGUUGCUGGGUGCAGUGGCUCACACCUGUAAUCUCAGCACUUUGGGAGGCCAAGGCAGGAGGAUCACUUGAGGCCAGGAGUUGGAGACCAGCCUGGGCAACAUAGUGAGACCCCAUCUCUUUAAAAAAAAAAUGUGUGUGUGUGUGUGUGUGUGUGUAUUUUAUUUUUUUAAUUGGCCAGGUAUGAUGGUGUACACCUAUACUCCCAGCUACUUGGGAGACUGAGGUGAGAUGAUCACUUAAGGCCAGAAGAUCAAGGCUGCAGUGAGCUAUGAUUGUUCCACUGCUUUCUAGACAGGGUGACAGAGCAAGACUCUGACUCUAAAAAAAUAAAUAAGGUAAAAUAAAAAUAAGAAGCCCAGCACAGUGGUUUAUGCCAGUAAUCAUUCCCAACAUUUCAGGAGGCCAAGCAGGAGGAUCACUUGAGCUGAGGAGUUCAAGACUGGCCUGGGCAAGACAGUAAGACCAUCUCUACAAAAAAUAAACAAAAAAUUAGCCGGGCAUGGUGGUGCAUGCUUGUAGUUCCAGCUGCUUGGGAGGCUGAGGUGGGAGGAUUGCUUGAGCCUGGAAGGUCAUGGCUGUAGUGAGCCGAGAUCGCACCACUGCACUCCAGCCUGGGUAACACAGUGAGACCCUCUCUCAAAAUAAAUACAGUCAGGCAUAGUGGCUCAUGUCUGUAAUUCCAGCACUUUGGGAGACCAAGGCAGGCAGAUCAUUUGAGGCCAGGAGUUUGAGACCAGCCAGGCCAACAUGGUGUAACCCCAUCUCUACUGAAAAUACAAAAAAAUUAGCUGGUCGUGGUGGCACAUGCCUGUAGUCCCAGCUACUCAGGAGGCUGAGGCAGGAGAAUCACUUCAACCGGGGAGGUGGAGGUUGCAGUGAGCCGAGAUCAUGCCACUGCAUUCCAGCUUGGGCAACAGAGCAAGACUCCGUAUAAAAACAUAAAUAAAUUAAAAUGUUUUAAAAAGUUGUGGUCAAUCUUUAGGGUUAUCUUAAGUAUCUUUUUUUUUUUUUUCAAGACAGGGUCUGACUCUGCCGCCCAGACUAGGGUAUGGUAGUACAAUCAUGUAGCUAACUAUAAACUCAAUUUCCUAGGCUCACGUGAUCCUCCCGCCUCAGCCUCCUGAGUAAUUAGGACUACAGGUGUGGUGGCCUGCACCUGUAAUCCCAGCUACUCAGGAGGCUGAGGUAGCUUGAACCCAGGAGGCAGAGGUUGCAGUGAGCCAAAAUUGUGCCACUGCACUCCAGCCUGGGCAACAGAGCGAGACUCCAUCUCAAAAAAAAAAAAUUGAGAGGAGUGUUAUCCUAGAUUUUCCAGGUGAGCUCUAAAUCCAGUAACAAGUGUCUGUACAAGAAUGAGGCAAAGAAAGAUAACACAGAUAGGAGGAAGCAAUGCCACCAUGACGACACAGACUGGAAUGACACCGUUAACAGCUGAGGAUGCCAAGAACCACCAGAAACUGGACGAGGCAAAAACAGAUUCUCCUCUAGAGCCUCUAGAGAGAGUAUAGCCCUGCUGACACCUUGAUUUUCUUCUGACCUCCAGCACUGUGAAAGAAUAAACUUCUGUUGUUUAAGCCACCCAGUUUACAGUAAUUUGUUGUAGCAGUCAUAUUUUAAGAAGAAAACUGGGGGAAUAAAUUUGGUGUAAGGAAAUGUUAUAGGAAAUCUAGGUCCACCUGCCUGGUUAUGGUGACAAAGGGUGAAUACUUUCCUAAGUUAGCAACAUCAGAAACAUCUUUAAAGUCUUUUUCUACAUGAAUUUCCUUAUUGGUUGCAGUGAUUUUAAAAUAUGUCCACAAAUUAUUUAAUUAUACCCCCUCCAAAAGUUGGAGCCUAAUUCUCCUCCCUUUGAGUAUGGAUUAUAUUUAUUGGCUUACUUCUAACAAUACAAUGUGGCAGAAGUGACCGUUUGUGACUUCCAAAAUUAGGACAUAAAAGACUUUGUGGCUUUCUCCUUGUUCUUUGACUUAGAUUAUUCGCUCUGGGAGAAGCCAGCUGUUGUGUCAUAAGGAUACUCAAGCUGCACUAUGCAAUGUCCACAUGGCAAAAACUCAGUCCUCUUGCCAACAGGAAACCCAAGAACUUGGGCUAUCUGAGCACAGUCAGCCUUAAAAUGACUGUAGUUCGGGGCCGGCCUUCAAGCGUCAGCAACGCAAGACGGCAGCCACCAUGGGCUCGGGAGUAAAAGUCCCUCACAAUUUCUGACUGUUGGAAGAACUCAGAGAAGGCCAGAAAGGAGUAGGAGAUGGCACAGUUAGCUGAGGUCUAGAAGAUGAUGAAGACAUGACAAAAGAUGGACAGGGAUGAUAAUUGGGCCUCCAAGAACAAUUUAUGAAAACCAAAUAUACAGCCUUAAAAUAGAAUGUGGACCUAAAUACCCACUAGCACCCCCCUUUGUAAGAUUUGUAACAAAAAUUAAUGUAAAUGGAGUUAAUAGUUCUAAUGGAGUAGUGGACCCAAGAGCCAUAUCAGUGCUAGCAAAAUGGCAGAAUUCAUAUAGCAUCAAAGUUGUCCUGCAAGAGCUUCAGUGCCUAUUGAUGUCUAAAGAAAAUAUGAAACUCCCUCAGCCACCGGCAGGACAGUGUUACAGCAAUUAAUCAAAAAGAAAAACCACAGGCCCUUCCGCUUCCCCCCGCCCGAUUCGAUUUAAGCAGUCUUCGUUUUCCACAGUAGUAAAUUUUCUAGAUACAUCAUGUAGACCUCAAAGUACUGGAAAGGAAGCUCCAAUUCAAAGGAAAUUUAUCUUAAGAUACUGUAAAUGAUACUAAUUAUCCAUUUGAAAUAUAUAAGUUUUGCUAUAACAAAUCAUCCUAUCAAGUGUAACCACUGUCCACGUAGUUGAACUUCUGGAAUCGAGAAAUUCUAAUUAAAUUGAUUCCCAUCAUAACUAGUGGGGCAUAUCUAACUCAACUGUGAAAAGAAACAUCACACAAUCACCUUGCUGAUUACAUGGCCUGGGGGUCUCUGCCUUCUCCCCUUACCCUCCUGCCUCCCACCCUCCCUGCAACAGCCCUCUAGCUUGGCUUGUUAGAGUGGAUGUGAAGGUUUCAGGUUGCAGCCUGUGGGACUACUGCUAGGUGUGUGGGGUGCUUCACCUGCACCCCUGGUUUCUUUAAGUCUUAUGCACCUUCCAAUCCGUCAUCCUGUCCCCACACUCCUCCACUCCUGCCUUUGGCAGAAGCAUAGGUUGUAACCCCUCCGCUCCCCUCUAAGAUUGGCCUUUGGUAAGGAAUUCAGGGCUUUCCCAGUAUCUUCUCUCCCCCACCUUUAUCGAGGGAUGCUGUUUUUUCUUCCCUCCUCAAGUUGCUUUCUGCACCAUCACCACUCAAUACCUUCCAUGACACUUCCUUGCUUUGGGCAGAAGCCAUCAGGUAAGGUUAGAAAGUCUCUAACCUCCCUUGUUUAGUUUUGGAACCAUACUUAUUCAUUCUCCAUCAGCCUGGGAAAUGAAUAUUGGGUUUUCAGCCCUGCCACCCUCUGCUGUCGUCAGCUGAUGCGUUGUUUUUAGCUCAGGUUUUGAUAAGGUGAAAAGGAAAGUCACCAGGGUUACUCAGACCUGCCAGCUCUCGGAGUCCUUGGUGGUUGAAAUUGGAGAAAGACCACAAGAAGACACUUGUAAGCACACGUGAUCCCUCUGAAUUGUUUUACUUCCUGUAAUUGCUUUUGCUUUUAAAAACUGAAGAAGUUUUAAACAGGGCUUUCAUUUGGUCAUCCUUGCAAUCCAUUGAGGUCUAGUUUGGAAUCUGACAACUGGAACAAAAAGAACCUUGAAUCCAGUGCGUGCCUUGGUUUUGGUGCUGCUGCUGCUUCUCAAGAUCCUCAGCAGGGAUUAAGAAAGAACCCAGUGUGCAUAGCAGAUCCCUGAAAUUGGCGGGCUUGACCUCCUGGGAAAUUGGUGUACAGUAGAGUUUUCCAGAGGCUACAUGACAUGCAGUAUCACAACGGAAGCAAAUAUAAGAACCCACCUGUCUCCUGUUAAAAUGCAAAAUGUAAAACAAUACCACUUUGCUAACUGUUUUUGUUUGGGGAAAUAUAGUUCAUAAAAAUAUUUAUGUUAACAUGUAAUUUAGGUUAAAAUAAAUUAAUAAAUAUUUGUAAAUUGUCUGUUUUAAUUUCUAAUAUGGUAAAUACAGAUAGAUAUAACCCAUAUAAACAAAACCUGUUUGGGGUCCUCAAUAAUAUUGAAGAGUGUUAUACAGGGGUCCUAAGGCCAAAGAAUUUGAUAAUGCUGCUCUAAGUCUUCCUUAUCCAUUAAAGUCCAAAUGAAAGCUGGGAACAGUAGCUAAUGCCUGUAACCCCAGUGCUUUGGGAGGCCGACAUAGGAGGAUUACUUGAGGCCAGGAGUUUGAGACCAGACAGGGCAACAUACGGAGACCCUGUUGCUACAAAAAUAAAUUUAAAACGUAGUUGGUCAUGGUGGCACAUGUCUGUAGUCCUAACUACUUGGGAGGCUGAGGCAGGAAGAUCACUUGAGCCUAGGAGCUUGAGGCUGCUAUGAUCCCGCCACUGCACUCCAGCCUGGGUGACAAAGCAAGACCCUGUCUCUGAAAAAAUAAAUAAAAUAGUUUUAAACUUAGAAAAAAAAGGUUCAUGUCAAAGCCUUCCUACUCGAUAAGACUUUUUGACCACUGCAACUAGAGAGGAUCUUGUCUGUCUCUGAAUACUACACACUUAUGGCACUUACACACUUAUGGCUCUUUUUUAUCAUUCAUCUAGUACAGACCUUGUGCCAAAAAGGAAUAUUGUUAUGUGGAUUCAGAGUGAUAAUUAAAGACAUGUGUUUGAUGGUGAAUCAUAAACAACCCUUUUACUUCGCAGUCUCUCUGAUUAGUCUUCCCAGCCUAAAGGAAAAAAAAAAAAAUCUUGACUUUUCAACCUACCCUUUCUCCUAAGGAAAAUAAUAAUAAAGUUUAAUAAUGAUAUAUGUAAA